Long non-coding RNA from Nothoprocta perdicaria, 242 nucleotides. RefSeq lists it as uncharacterized. The transcript has 2 exons. Lineage: Eukaryota; Metazoa; Chordata; Aves; Tinamiformes; Tinamidae. The record is from RefSeq and is a predicted model, not a curated record.
CUGCUUCUGGCUUGUAAGAGUACCACCUGGGAAUGGAAUCUACAUCAAUUUCACAGUUCUCCAAACAGAGCCAAUAUAUGAUUUCAUAACUGUCUGGGAUGGACCAGACCAAACUUCUCCUCAGAUUGGACAAUUCAGUGGCAACACUGCAUUAGAAUCAGUCUACAGCACUUCCAAUCAGAUUCUGAUCAAGUUCCACAGUGACUUUACUACCAGUGGCUUUUUUGUACUUAGUUAUCAUG